This 2610-nucleotide small RNA is filed under the name Pan troglodytes (chimpanzee). RNAcentral describes it as "processed transcript". The record is from RNAcentral. Lineage: Eukaryota; Metazoa; Chordata; Mammalia; Primates; Hominidae.
AAAGACACAGCAGGCUGCAACCCAACUGGAGACUACUGCAGGCUGCCAUGGAUGAGAGGUAGGGCAUCUAGUUUCAUUCUUCUGCAUAUGGAUAUCCAGUUUUCCCAGCACCAUUUUAUAUAAGGGACUUGAGCAUCUGCAGAUUUUGAUAUCCACAGCAGGUCCUGGAACUAAUCUCCCGCAGAUACAAAGGGACAGCUAAAGUUGUCUCUUAGGGUUUCUGCAAGUAUUAAAGAGAUAUCACAUGGAAAACACUUGGAACCAUGUCUGGCAGGUAGCAAGUACUGAAUAAAUGCUAACUCUUCAUAUUGCUGCUGAGAUUCAGAAUGCUUGAAGUGACCAGGCGCAGUGGCUCAUGCCUGGGAGACUGAGGCAAGAGGGCUGCUUGAGCCCAGGAGUUCAAAAACAGCCUGGGCAAAAUAGCAAGACCCUACCUCUUAAAAAAAAAAAAAAAAAAAAAAAAAAAGCUUGAAGACUGUUGAAUGCUGCCUUGUUUGUGGAGUAUCAGGUAUGUAGAACAGUCCUGGCCCCUGGCCAAAGCUUUGAAACAACUGCUGUAAGAUCCUAAUUAAAUGUUCAGCCUCCUACUGUCUUCUUCCUGUUCCUCACGCACCUACUCAACAAGCAAUUCUCAAGCCUGUCCUGCGCCCCUAUGGUGACUCUGUGCUUGGAGCUCCAGUGAGCCCACCAGAAGCAUGCUAUUAUCCCUGCCCUCCUGGAACCUACAUUCUGAAAGGAAAGCAAACUCAUCAUCCAUGACACUGAGGACAAGGCCAGGCAGGAGGCACCACAGCCAAUCUAUGAGGACUUAGGAAGGAAGCAGUCUCUGCAGCCUGUUUCUUGUGAUCCAGGAAGACCAGAAUUCUUCCUCAGCAACUUCCAUCUCUCCUCGCCACAGUGUGUCCCAAGCACACAAGUGAUGCCAUCAUUCCCGGCUGGUUCUUCUCUCCCUGUUAAGCCCCACUUGGGCUUUCCCAGACUCCUUGGAUCAAAGAUUCUUCUAAUAUUUUCUCUUCCUCUGAAUCAAGAGUCUUCUUUUAACCUUUCUUGUUUUGUCUCUGGCUGUCACUCUUUUUCCCCUGUGUAUACUACACCUACUUCUCCUCCUAAUCUUUUACUGAGCAAAUAUCUGGAACAUUACAAGUAAACAAGUAUCUUGUAAGUUUACAUUUACAUUUCACACACAUAAGGCCAAGAGCUCCCUGAGGACAAAGAUUGUUACCUACAAAGAUUGUAGGUAACUGUGUAGUUCCUACAACACCUGGCUUGGUACUUAUCUGUGCCCCAAAGGAAUACAUACAUGAAGAAGUGGGCUUUUAUCACAAAUUCCUCAGUGUCUACAACAGAAAAAGUCUUUUUAAAAUUGACCAUUUUGUUCUAACAGUCUCUGAUCCCCACUCUUGGUGCCAGCCCAGGGCCAAAGCUAAUGGGUGAGGAUGGAAAUACAAGCACCUUCAACAUCUCCUGCACCAAGUUCUUCCUGGUGGGUUUCCCUGGACUUCGAGAGUGGUGGCCCCUUCUGGUCCUGCCUCUUGUCUUCCUCUUUGUGACCAUCAUCUCUGCCAAUGCCCUGGUCAUCCACACAGUGGUUGCCCGGCAAAAUCUGCAUCAGCCUACGUGUAUGCUCAUCACUGUGCUCCUGGCUGUCAAUAUUCGUGCUGCCACAGCCGUGAUGCCUAAAAUGCUGGAGGGCUUUGUAUAUUAUGCUAACCCCAUAUCGCUGCAUGGCCGCCUGGCCUAGGUGUUCUUUAUCUACUUCACCCUCCUCCUGGACUACAACUUCCUCUGGCCAUGGCCCUGGACUGCUACGUGGCCAUCUGCCACCCACUCUGCUAUUCUGACCUGAUGACCUCCCAGCUGCUGGGACUGCUGGCCAUUCUUGCCUUGACACAGAGCCUGGGAGUGGCAGUGCCCUUGGUAGUGCUAACUGCAAAAGCCCGAUUCUGCCGGACAGUAGUGAUUCGACACUUCACCUGUGAGUGCAUUGCACUGCUGAGCAUAGCUUGUGGAGACCUGACCUUCAACAACUGGCUGGGGCUGGCUAUGUGGUUGGUCACUGUAACCUCUGAUAUGGCCCUGCUGGGGACCUCCUACAGCCACAUCAUCUAUGCUGCCUUCCGGAUCUCUUCUUGGGGAGCCCAAGCCAAGGCCUUACACAUGUGUGGCUCCCACCUACUGGUCAUCCUCUCCAUCUACGUCUCUGGUCUUUCCACUUCCAUCACCUUCUGAGUAGCCAAGACUGUGUCCCAGAAUGUCCAGAAUCUACUCAGUGCCAUAUACUUGCUGCUUCCAGGAGCCUUGAAUCCUGUCAUUUAUGGGGUGAGGACUAGGGAGAUCCAGCAACAUGUAGAAAAGAUGCUCUGUGAAAAGGAAACAGCCCAGAAGGCUGGGGAGAAGCCAAAGAGGCUGCAGAACAUGAGACUGGAAACCGCCAGGGUGAGGGACUUUACUAACUUCGGAAGUUGGGGCUAUGAUCUCUGAGAAGAGAUAAGCAGGCAGUACUCAGGGACAGGCUCAAAUUUCCUCAGCAGAUUAUGGGCUCAACAGCAGGUUCCCUGUUGGUCAACUGUUGCUUGUUAAAUUCUUAGAAUGCUCUUUGUUUUCACCCCC